RNAcentral lists this ribosomal RNA (129 nucleotides) under uncultured bacterium. RNAcentral describes it as "partial 16S ribosomal RNA". It matches the Rfam family "Bacterial small subunit ribosomal RNA", at positions 338 to 484 of the family's 1533-position model. The record is from RNAcentral.
CCUACGGGAGGCAGCAGUGGGGAAUCUUAGACAAUGGGGGAAACCCUGAUCUAGCCAUGCCGCGUGAGUGAUGAAGGCCUUAGGGUCGUAAAGCUCUUUCGCCAGGGAUGAUAAUGACAGUACCUGUAA